AGUGGCGAACGGGUGAGUAACACGUGAGCAACCUGCCCCUGACUCUGGGAUAAGCGCUGGAAACGGCGUCUAAUACUGGAUAUGUCCCAUCACCGCAUGGUGUGUGGGUGGAAAGAUUUUUCGGUUGGGGAUGGGCUCGCGGCCUAUCAGCUUGUUGGUGAGGUAAUGGCUCACCAAGGCGUCGACGGGUAGCCGGCCUGAGAGGGUGACCGGCCACACUGGGACUGAGACACGGCCCAGACUCCUACGGGAGGCAGCAGUGGGGAAUAUUGCACAAUGGGCGGAAGCCUGAUGCAGCAACGCCGCGUGAGGGAUGACGGCCUUCGGGUUGUAAACCUCUUUUAGCAGGGAAGAAGCGAGAGUGACGGUACCUGCAGAAAAAGCACCGGCUAACUACGUGCCAGCAGCCGCGGUAAUACGUAGGGUGCAAGCGUUAUCCGGAAUUAUUGGGCGUAAAGAGCUCGUAGGCGGUCUGUCGCGUCUGCUGUGAAAUUCCGAGGCUCAACCUCGGGCUUGCAGUGGGUACGGGCAGACUAGAGUGCGGUAGGGGAGAUUGGAAUUCCUGGUGUAGCGGUGGAAUGCGCAGAUAUCAGGAGGAACACCGAUGGCGAAGGCAGAUCUCUGGGCCGUAACUGACGCUGAGGAGCGAAAGGGUGGGGAGCAAACAGGCUUAGAUACCCUGGUAGUCCACCCCGUAAACGUUGGGAACUAGUUGUGGGGUCCUUUCCACGGAUUCCGUGACGCAGCUAACGCAUUAAGUUCCCCGCCUGGGGAGUACGGCCGCAAGGCUAAAACUCAAAGGAAUUGACGGGGACCCGCACAAGCGG
RNAcentral lists this ribosomal RNA (827 nucleotides) under Microbacterium esteraromaticum. RNAcentral's name for it is "bacterial SSU rRNA". It matches the Rfam family "Bacterial small subunit ribosomal RNA", at positions 94 to 932 of the family's 1533-position model. Lineage: Bacteria; Bacillati; Actinomycetota; Actinomycetes; Micrococcales; Microbacteriaceae. The record is from RNAcentral.